Drosophila ananassae is the source of this 1435-nucleotide RNA transcript. It is a transcript of the gene named aldo-keto reductase family 1 member B1, with no coding region annotated. NCBI's taxonomy places the organism in Eukaryota, Metazoa, Arthropoda, Insecta, Diptera, Drosophilidae. The transcript has 7 exons. The record is from RefSeq and is a predicted model, not a curated record.
AUAUGCUAUUUUUUAUAUAGCAAGAAUAAAAUUGUGACAAAUUUAGUAAGCAUUGGUUUUUAUAGCAUUAAAGUCCAACAUCACAAACAAAAAAAAAAACACUUCAACAUGAACAAAAUAAUUACACCACACUUGUUUAGACCCAUUUCUUUGGCGGUAGUUCGAAACUAUGGAAAAGUGGAGAGGUUUAUGUGGUGCCAGAAGGAGAUCCCAGGGCGUCCGAAAGCGGUGUUCUUGAAUGGCAAAGAAAUUCCCAUAAUAGGACUUGGAACUUGGAUGAGCCCCAAAGGUCAGGUCACCGAGGCUGUGAAAAUCGCCAUCGAUGCUGGAUACAGGCACAUUGACUGUGCCCAUGUCUACCAGAACGAGGAUGAGGUCGGCGAGGGUAUUGAAACCAAGAUCAAGGAGGGAGUUGUCAAGCGUGAGGACCUGUUCAUUACCAGCAAACUGUGGAACACCUACCAUCGCCCGGAUCUGGUCAGGACUGCCGUUGACAAUACGCUGUCUGCCCUGAAGCUGAAGUACCUGGAUCUCUACCUGAUCCACUGGCCCAUGGCCUACAAGGAGGGCUGUGAACUCUUCCCGGUCGACAAGGAGGGCAAAGUACAGUUCUCACCGGUCGACUAUGUGGACACCUGGAAGGCUAUGGAGCAGCUGGUCGCGGAUGGUCUGGUCAAGUCAAUUGGUGUGUCCAACUUCAACAGGAAGCAGAUCGAGCGUGUGCUGGCUGUGGCCAAAAUUCCGCCGGCUACCAACCAGAUCGAAUGCCAUCCGUAUCUGACCCAGAAGAAACUGAUUGACUUCUGCAAGUCGAAGGACAUUGCGAUCACCGCCUACAGUCCUCUGGGCUCGCCCAACCGUCCCUGGGCCAAGGAAGGUGAUCCGGUCAUCCUGGAGGAGCCAAAGAUCAAGGAGCUGGCUGCCAAGCUGAAGAAGACUCCUGGACAGGUCCUGAUCCGUUACCAGAUCCAGCGCACCAACAUCGUUAUUCCCAAGUCGGUGACCAAGGACCGCAUCGAGUCCAACUUCCAGGUCUUUGAUUUCGUACUUUCCCCCGAGGACAUCGAGGUUAUCGAGAGUUUUGAGCGCAACGGCCGUCUGGUGCCUCUGCUGAAGGAGGCUGGUGCCCACAAGUACUAUCCCUUCCACGACGAGUAUUAAAAAUUUUCAAAUCGAUAUAUGCCAAACGAACAAUUUCGAAGAACAUUACUUAAUGAGAAGCCAUGCCUACUGAAAAUUAUACCUCUCAAGAUUCCCAAGAACAACGACAUAUGUAUAAUGAUAAUGGUGUAUAUCAUACCCAAUACGGUCAUCCCCAUCAUCCAUUUGAGAACGACGAAUACUAAUAGGCCACAAAACUGUGAAAAGUUCAAAUUAUUGAUUUGUUUCACAAACAUUUAAUCUUAAAAAGUAUAAAUAAAUAAACAAAAUUUAA